Molecule: ribosomal RNA, 203 nt
Filed under: uncultured Lactobacillus sp.
Lineage: Bacteria; Bacillati; Bacillota; Bacilli; Lactobacillales; Lactobacillaceae
Description: partial 16S ribosomal RNA
Rfam family: Bacterial small subunit ribosomal RNA
Source: RNAcentral
GAUGCUAAUACCGGAUAACAACAGAUGAUGCCUAUCAACUGUUUAAAAGAUGGUUCUGCUAUCACUCUUGGAUGGACCUGCGGUGCAUUAGCUAGUUGGUAGGGUAACGGCCUACCAAGGCGAUGAUGCAUAGCCGAGUUGAGAGACUGAUCGGCCACAUUGGGACUGAGACACGGCCCAAACUCCUACGGGAGGCAGCAGGA